UGUUUUGUUUUGUUUUUUUGGUUAAAAAUUGGCAGUUGGGUAAUAGGAGGAAACAUAAAAUCAUAAAGGUAAAAUUAAGCAGGAGCAGAAGGGGACAAGAGACAAAUCUGCCACGAUGUGCAGGCCACAACAACAUAUGUGAAUUGGAUCUUCACCUGGAGUUCCUGGGAUUCGUGUCAACUUGAUCAAAUUUUCAGCUUUUCGAACCAUCACUUUGAUUCGCUGAGCCAGGGUCUGGUACUGCAGCAAGAUCAACAGGUGGCCCAAAGUCCGUGGCACGCAGACUGAGCUUUUCCUGCAUCCCAGAGUCUCCUGAGAAUUGAAACUCUGAGGACAAGUAAUAGGGAAGAUCAAGUUAAAAAAAUAAAAAUGUCAUGACUCUCCUGG
Molecule: long non-coding RNA, 387 nt
Organism: Gambusia affinis (western mosquitofish)
Lineage: Eukaryota; Metazoa; Chordata; Actinopteri; Cyprinodontiformes; Poeciliidae
Exons: 2
Source: RefSeq, a predicted model, not a curated record